UGACUCCUGUACUCCACUGGAUCAAGAAGAGUAGGGGGAGUUGGGAUGUCUCCCAUCAACAUCACGUAGCAUGGAGCCCCUGGACAGUUCUGGAGGACUCUGUACACAGCUUUGGCAACAUCAGUCUCCUGAAGAUAUUCUAUAGUCAUAUCAACAGCUUCAAGUUCUGUAAGAAACAGUGUUUUGACCAGCUAAAGAAGUCAUCGGCCAGCUGAGAAGGUGAGACUGAUGACAGCUUGGCUAAGUGCUCACAUACUAAGGAAUACAUCAUCACCAGGCCUGUCACGUGUCACCUGC
Chelonoidis abingdonii (Abingdon island giant tortoise) is the source of this 297-nucleotide long non-coding RNA. RefSeq lists it as uncharacterized. Lineage: Eukaryota; Metazoa; Chordata; Testudines; Testudinidae. The record is from RefSeq and is a predicted model, not a curated record.